This 365-nucleotide small RNA is filed under the name Pongo abelii (Sumatran orangutan). RNAcentral describes it as "retained intron". Lineage: Eukaryota; Metazoa; Chordata; Mammalia; Primates; Hominidae. The record is from RNAcentral.
AAGGUCAGAGUGGGAAUGAAUUACUUAGUCCUAUGAGUAAGUCAAUAAACUUGAAUUUAGAGUGAUAAUACUUGCUGGUUUUACACUUACUUCUGUGCCUUUGGCAGGAGAGAGGCAAAUAUUGUUGAUUAUGUGAAUGUGGCACUGUUUGGGAAGAUAUGCUCAAGAGGCUUGUAUGGUAGCGACAAAGAAUUACAUAAAUUGGAACUAUUUUGGAUAUAAUUUUUUUCAGGAGUCUCACAACUCAAGAAAGAAACGGGAAAUUACUGAAAAACAGAUAGACGAUAACAGAAAAUUUUCUUUAUUUGCUGAAAGAAAAUACCAGACUCUUAACUGUAGCGUGAACGUGAACUGUGUGAACAUCA